Callithrix jacchus (white-tufted-ear marmoset) is the source of this 1507-nucleotide non-coding RNA. The record is from RefSeq and is a predicted model, not a curated record. NCBI's taxonomy places the organism in Eukaryota, Metazoa, Chordata, Mammalia, Primates, Cebidae.
CUCACGUCCAGGAACUGGUUCCCAGCCUCCCAACCCCUCUGCAGCGCCCACGCGCCUGGGUCCGAGUCCGCGAGCGAAAGCCGGUGGCGCGGAGGCUUCUGGGAGAUGGAGGCCGAGACUGAGACCUGCGCAGGCGCAAACCCACAGCUGGGGUGAGGGCUGGAAGUGGCGCCGUUCGUGGCAGUGCCCCGAUGGAACCUCCUGGUCCUGUGAGGGGGCCCUUGCAAGAUUCCAGCUGGUAUGAGCCUUCUGCAGAGCCAGUCCGGACUGAAAUGUCUAUAUCACUAACAGCAGCUGAAACUCUGGCCCUUCAGGGUAUACAGGGACAAGAGAAGAUUAUGAUGAUGGAACCAAAGGAAGAGGAACAGUCUUGUGAGUAUGAGACCAGGCUACCUGGGAACCACUCUGCCAGUCAAGAGAUCUUCUGCCAACACUGCUACCAGGAGACCCCUGGUCCCCGGGAGGCCUUGAGCCAACUACAGGUACUCUGCUGUGAGUGGCUGAGGCCAGAGAAACACACCAAGGAGCAGAUCCUGGAGUUACUGGUGCUCGAACAAUUCUUGACCAUCCUGCCUGAGGAGCUCCAAUUCUGGGUGCGGGGACAUCACCUUAAGAGUGGAGAGGAGGCUGUGACUGUGCUGGAGGAUUUAGAGAAAGGACUUGAACCAGAGCCGUAGGUCCCAGGCCCUGCACGUGAACUUGCACAGGAAGAGCCAUGGGAGAAGAAGGAAUCUCUGGGAGCCUCCCAGGAAGGAGUGAGCAUCCAGCUCCAGCCUAAGGAGACCCAGCCUUUCCCAAAGAGUGAACAGGUAUAUUUACAUUUUCUGUCAUUUGUUACAGAAGAUGGCCCAGAGACCAAAGACAAAGGAUCAUUGCCACAACCACCUAUUACCGAAGUGGAAUCACAGGUUUUCUCAGAAAGACUUGCUACUGACACCUCUAUAUUUGAAGCUACCUCUGAGGGUACCUUAGAACUGCAGCAGAGAAAUCCCAAAGCAGAGAGACUGAGGUGAUCCCCUGCCCAGGGGAAAAGUUUCAGACAGAUGGUUGUCACCCAUAAGGAAAUUCUCACAGGGAAGAAAGACCAUGAAUGUAGUGAAUGUAGUAAAACCUUCAUUUAUAACUCACAUCCUGUUGUCCACCAGAGUUCAUUCUGGAGAGAAACCCUGUAAGUGUAGUGACUGUGGGAAAACUUUCAAACAGAGCUCAAACCUCGGUCAGCAUCAGAAGAUUCAUACAGGAGAGAAACCCUUCGAAUGUCAUGAAUGUGGGAAGGCCUUCAGGUGGGGUGCUCAUCUUGUUCAGCAUCAAAGGAUUCAUUCAGGAGAGAAGCCCUGUGAGUGUAAUGAGUGUGGGAAGGCCUUUAGUCAAAGCUCAUAUCUAAGUCAGCAUUGGAGAAUUCACAGAGAAACCUUUUAUUUGUAAAGAAUGUGGGAAAGCUUAUGGAUGGUGCUCAGAGCUCAUUAGACAUCAGAGAGUUCAUGCCAGAAAAGAGGCUUUGCAUUGA